AUUGAACGCUGGCGGCAGGCCUAACACAUGCAAGUCGAACGGUAACAGGAAGAAGCUUGCUUCUUUGCUGACGAGUGGCGGACGGGUGAGUAAUGUCUGGGAAACUGCCUGAUGGAGGGGGAUAACUACUGGAAACGGUAGCUAAUACCGCAUAACGUCGCAAGACCAAAGAGGGGGACCUUCGGGCCUCUUGCCAUCGGAUGUGCCCAGAUGGGAUUAGCUAGUAGGUGGGGUAACGGCUCACCUAGGCGACGAUCCCUAGCUGGUCUGAGAGGAGGACCAGCCACACUGGAACUGAGACACGGUCCAGUCUCCUACGGGAGGCAGCAGUGGGGAAUAUUGCACAAUGGGCGCAAGCCUGAUGCAGCCAUGCCGCGUGUAUGAAGAAGGCCUUCGGGUUGUAAAGUACUUUCAGCGGGGAGGAAGGGAGUAAAGUUAAUACCUUGGCUCAUUGACGUUACCCGCAGAAGAAGCACCGGCUAACUCCGUG
RNAcentral lists this ribosomal RNA (490 nucleotides) under uncultured bacterium. RNAcentral describes it as "partial 16S ribosomal RNA". It matches the Rfam family "Bacterial small subunit ribosomal RNA", at positions 30 to 507 of the family's 1533-position model. The record is from RNAcentral.